Trachemys scripta elegans is the source of this 4317-nucleotide long non-coding RNA. RefSeq lists it as uncharacterized. The transcript has 2 exons. Lineage: Eukaryota; Metazoa; Chordata; Testudines; Emydidae. The record is from RefSeq and is a predicted model, not a curated record.
CUGUUCAUUCCCUCUGGGGCACCUGGCACUGGCCACUGUCAGAAGACAGGAUAUUGGACUAGAUGGACCUUUGGUCUUUCCCAGUAGGGCCAUUCUUAUGAUGUAAGUGCCUUGUUAUGUCAACACAGUCAAACCACCUCCCCAAAUGGUGUGGAACCAUGGUUGUCCUACUGAGGUCAAUGCAGUGCGAGUGUCGAUACUGCAUGACCUGUGUCAACUCUAACAGACUUUCAGCAUCUGUCCCACAAUGUCCCAUUCUCUGCAACAGUGACCACUCUGGUUACAAUUUUAAACUCCACUGCCUAGCGGUCACAGAGACCAGAAGCUGCCCCCACCUUUCAACAUCCUCCCUCCCCCUCACAUGUUGAGAUGCCUUUUGCUGAGUCCAGAUGUUGGUAAACGCACUUAGCAGCUCUCCCUUCUUGUGUGCAACUGCCCAGCCAACUGUGCUGGCCCCACACAGACAGAGAGGUAUUAGAUGUGCUCCAGGCUGGAGUAGACAGGUGCUUUGGAUCUCCUGGGCCUGUGGGGAGAAGAGAUUGUGCCGCAUGAAAGUGAAGGAACUUCACAGGAUGCCACAAGGCCAGGGAGCGCCACAAUAGAUCUGGUGCUGCGCCUCAGACCUGCUGCUUCUACAAGUUACUGCAUGGCAUACUUGGCGGAGACCCCACCAGCACCCUGCAGACCACUGUGGAUACCUCCGAGGAGCCCAAGACAGAGACAUGUACAGAGAGGAGGAAGGAGUGUGGGGGAGACACAGCAGGGGAUUCCAGUCAUGCAGCAAGCCAGGACCUGUGUGAGACUCUGACACAGUUUAGCCAGUGCCACCAGCACCUUCUAGGAUGGCCGCCUUGAGGAGUUCCCCCUCCACACCUGCAGAACGCCUGAUCCUGAGGAGGAGGAGAAAGAGGAGGACUGAGGAAGACGUAUUCUACAAGAUCCUGUCAGCCAGUGCUGCAUUGGACCAUGAACAAAGGGCUCGGAGAGCCGUACGACCAACAGCAUGGAGAAAGACAGAGAGGACAGGGAAAAAGGCCCAGGAGUCCAAGCAGGAUAAGGAGUGGGAAAUGCGUUAGGACAUAAUUGGUCUUCUCAGACAGCAGAUUCAAAUGCUGCUGGUUGUCCUGCAGGUCCCAAAAUCUUGGAUUCUCCAUCCUUUGCACUAUUUGGAGAACUUCAUGGUCACUGUUCCUACACCCCACAACAUACCACAUGGCAUCAUGGGGCGGAUCGUUGCCUCUAUCAUUCCAUGUGGGGAAGGAGGGAGGUGGGGUAGAAAAGAAAAUCCUAGCUUCACAUACACUGACCUAUGAGGACCACGACCACAAUGGACUACAUUUGUGCAUUCAAACGGACAUAAAAUUAGAAAGGAAGUAAACAUUUGUUUUCACCUCGUUAUGUUACAUGUUUGUAUUGCAUGGCUUGUGGGGGUUUUUGUACAUUGACUUUUUUGUACGGUUUUUCCCACUUAAUAAAUGUUUUUCGAGAAUCAAAUGAUCUUUAUUAGUUCACAACAAAUAUUGCAGAAUGCAUAGCGGUAUUCAAAGCAAACAGUCCUUGUAAAUGUACAGCAAGCACCAUAGUAUUCAAGUAUUCAUAGCUCCAGGAAAACACCCAGUCAUAUUUAUGAAUAUAUAGCAAGCACUACACAAUUCUGAGCAGCACCUGAAGUUCCAGGCCCAGAGAACACUACAUCACAGAACACUACUGUGGCUGACUGCUAAAGGGCUCUGUCAAAGCCUCCUUCACUCCAUAGCGCCAUGUUGAGCUCUUGUAAUAGCCCUUGAAUCUGGCUGUUCAAACUCAGCAGUCAGCUGCUUCAUGUCCGUCCUCCACCCUAGCAGCAGCUUAUUCCCCUUUUGUCUCGCAUGCUGGAAACUUGACUCCCUAGCUCCCAGAGAUCCCUGAGUGAGUCACUUCUAUCCCACAACAUAUUGUGAAAAUUUCCCAAAAGGCAUUGCACUGGAUGGCAGUGUGUGUCACACUGAAAUAACUACCCAUAGUGCACCACACUUUACAUCAACACACUCACUUCUGGUGAGUACGCGCAGCAGCAACACAAGCAGCAAAGUGUGCACCUGUGCCAGCGAUAUACAAACUUCAGUGGCUGUACAUCAAGGUAACUUUCAUCAACCACAGUUUGUAGUGUAGACAUGGCCUUGUUCUGAAGUGCUGCCAGGAUGUUUUUCCUCAAGUUCAUUUUAGGUUUUCCUUAUUUGCACCCUUUUAUCCUAACUGCACCUCACUAAAUACCUCCCCCACCCUUGGAGUUUGCACUCUUAUCACAUUUCCCUAUCCCUAAGUGGUACUCUUGAACUAUGUGUGUUCCUCUCAAUCUUUCCCUCUAGCAUUCUGAGAGUUCUUGUUGCUCCUCUGAGCUCCUUCCACUUUGUCUUUGUUACUCUGUUACACUUCAGCUCAUCUACAACAUGGAGUUGUUCCUGAUUAACUUUCAAAGUUAGUUAAACGAAAUGGGAAUGAAGCACUCUUAAUUCCAUUUGUGAGCACUCUUUUUCUGGAGUGAUUUAGGAAGAGCUAUUGUACUGUAAAUUCACACUCUACCUUCAUCCACCUUAACUUUAAGGGUGGCGAGGCUCUUUUUUCUUUCUAGUAAUAUUGUGCCCAGCCCUGAACAUACUCCAGGUGCUGUCAUACCAGAGCCAUGUUAACUGUUACCUUUUUGGUCUGUGACAUGCUGUUUGUGUAGACAGCCUAAAAUCGCAUUGGCUCCUUUGGCUGUCAUGUUGCAUUGCAAAUACACAUUUAAUUAGCUGUUAUUAUCCCACCCACUGUCUAGCGUGGAAGGUUGUUUUUUUUAAAUAGUGACAUGCAUGGGUCCCAAAGUAACUACUUGCACCCCCAAUAAUGGGAUCCUAGAACUGGCCCAGUUCCUGGGUUUCUUUCUCUAGUGCUUCCAUCACCAUAGUCUCUCAGCAGCUCUAUGUUUCCAGGUUACUCCUGCCUAUUGAGUGUACUUAUUUAACUCAUUCCCUUUCUUCUCCUCCUCCAGCGUACUAGAUUUCAUUUGAUGCUGUCUCUCUUCCCUUCCCCUACCCCCCAACUCCCUUUUCCUUCUUCUUUCCUUCAAUUCUGGCUAAAAUCUUCUCUCAAGCUACACUUUAGGAAUUUUUUAUUUAGGCAAUAUGGUCCCUCAUUUCCUGAUAGCUGCAGUAGAGAAUUUUAAAACACAAACUACAGUUAAAAAGAAAUUGGUACUGCUCUUGAUUGGAGAGAGUUUGCUUGUUGAGGAACUCUAGAGCCAAAUGCCAACGAGGAGAAGACAGCAGUAACUUGAGAAGACUGCAAAGGUUAAGAAUCCAUCAGAUAUCCACACCAAAUGCAUUUUAGUUAUCACAGAUGUCAAGCAAUGGUGUUGACACUGUUUUUGUGAAGUCCUCAGGGGCAAUUGCCCUGUUUUGCAGCGCAGGGACAACCUUGGCACAUGCCAACCUGCACCAGACCCUUGUUCCACCUCCUGCAAAACCACCUGCUGAGGUGCUGGCUGCACUUCCCCACAUCUUUUCUUCUGUGGAUUCCUUGUCCGUAGCCACACAAAGUCAUGGGACCCCCGCAUUCACCUUCUCCUGGCAUUGGCUGGGAUGGCCAUCCAUCUGGCCAUCCAUCUGGCCGGGAGGUGGAUGCUCAGUGGGGAGGUUUUCUGUUGCUGUGGGGCCUACUGUUCACUAAUUGUCUCUCACAUCUGGGUAGAAUUCCUCUGGGUGGUUUCCACUGACUUCUUUGCGGAGCACUUGGUGGUGUUCAGGGUUCGCUACUUGGUGCCCCGCAUCCAGUAUCCUUGUUUUUAAUUUCAUCCCCCAGCUUUCCUGAUUUACCAUUUGUUUUUCCACUGAAUCUAUUUUCUGGGGUCUGUGGCCCCUCCCUCAGUUGAGGGUGUGAAUGUUUUGUCCUGUGUUGACUUGGGCCCACCCUUCCAGAAUUAAAGUAGGCCAUUGCCUUUCAGCUGCAUUAAAUUCACUCAAUUUAAAAGGUCUGUUUCAAUUGGACAAGUAUGCUGCUGCUUUGUCCAUUUUGUGUUUUGACUUCUGACCUACCACCUGAUGCUACAUAAAGAUGAUUGUGUGUGUGUGUGCGCGCGGAAAUGUGGAAAGGUCAUGUUUGAAGGUGAAUGACCUGAAAACAAUACCGGCAUGCAAGAAAUCUGGUUGAAACAAGGAAAUGGGUGUACGUGGGAACAGGAAAGCAUCUGUCUAGUGGUUAAAGUGUACUGUUAAUUCAAAAGUAAAAUGUUGUAAACAAAUAUCUGUAUCGUGGUGCUAACAGCUUAGAUUAUUAAAAGUGAAAAUUAUAAAAGUCCAA